AGUGAACGCUGGCGGUAGGCCUAACACAUGCAAGUCGAACGGCAGCACAGUAAGAGCUUGCUCUUACGGGUGGCGAGUGGCGGACGGGUGAGGAAUACAUCGGAAUCUACUUUUUCGUGGGGGAUAACGUAGGGAAACUUACGCUAAUACCGCAUACGACCUACGGGUGAAAGCAGGGGAUCUUCGGACCUUGCGCGAUUGAAUGAGCCGAUGUCGGAUUAGCUAGUUGGCGGGGUAAAGGCACACCAAGGCGACGAUCCGUAGCUGGUCUGAGAGGAUGAUCAGCCACACUGGAACUGAGACACGGUCCAGACUCCUAAGGGAGGCAGCAGUGGGGAAUAUUGGACAAUAGGCGCAAGCCUGAUCCAGCCAUACCGCGUGGGUGAAGAAGGCCUUCGGGUUGUAAAGCCCUUUUGUUGGGAAAGAAAAGCAGCAGGUUAAUACCCCGCUGUUCUGACGGUACCCAAAGAAUAAGCACCGGCUAACUUCGUG
Molecule: ribosomal RNA, 492 nt
Filed under: uncultured bacterium
Lineage: Bacteria
Description: partial 16S ribosomal RNA
Rfam family: Bacterial small subunit ribosomal RNA
Source: RNAcentral